GGAGUGGCUGGGACCGAGGCCCAGCAAGGACUCACAGCUGCCCCCAACUCACCCUGGGGCUUCCUUCCUCAGAUGUGGAAAAACCUGGAAUAUGCCCGGAGUUCACAAUCCACUGUCCCUUCACCAUGAUAUCGCUGUGCUGGCGCGAUAAAGGCUGCAAGGAGGACAUGAAGUGUUGUUUCUACAACUGCAGAAAGCAGUGCAUGACUCCGUGGCUGAGUCUGGAUUGAGGUGGAAAUCCCUUCUUACCCGGGCGGGAGAAGACACUGGUAGUACAGGCUCUGACUCAGAUAACUGGGCUCCAGUUCUUCCAUGUCCUCCUCAUCCCCCAGACUUCCUUUAUCAGAGUUCAACGCUUGUUACUAUGAAAACAACACAAAGGAAUAAAGUGUCAUAUGCCU
Pipistrellus kuhlii (Kuhl's pipistrelle) is the source of this 401-nucleotide long non-coding RNA. RefSeq lists it as uncharacterized. NCBI's taxonomy places the organism in Eukaryota, Metazoa, Chordata, Mammalia, Chiroptera, Vespertilionidae. The transcript is spliced from 2 exons. The record is from RefSeq and is a predicted model, not a curated record.